Molecule: ribosomal RNA, 229 nt
Filed under: uncultured bacterium
Lineage: Bacteria
Description: partial 16S ribosomal RNA
Rfam family: Bacterial small subunit ribosomal RNA
Source: RNAcentral
CGCGUAGGCGGUCUUGUCGGUCAGAUGUGAAAGCCCAGGGCUCAACCCUGAACAUACAUUUGAAACAGCAAGACUUGAGUACGGGAGAGGAGAGCGGAAUUCCUGGUGUAGAGGUGAAAUUCGUAGAUAUCAGGAGGAACACCGAUGGCGAAGGCAGCUCUCUGGACCGAUACUGACGCUGAGGCGCGAAGGCGUGGGUAGCGAACAGGAUUAGAUACCCUGGUAGUCC